GAAUGUCUUUUCUCGGUACACAAAGAUGAAUACCUGGACGUGAACAUCAACCAUCCAGGAUUGCGGAUUCGCAAGAAAAAAUUCUGGUUAGUUGAUGUUCAAGUCUAUGAAUUCGUUUUGCGUAGUAUCCAUGUGUAGCGCGAUGACGAGACUUUC
Non-coding RNA from Marchantia polymorpha subsp. ruderalis, 156 nucleotides. The record is from the annotation of a GenBank genome assembly. NCBI's taxonomy places the organism in Eukaryota, Viridiplantae, Streptophyta, Marchantiopsida, Marchantiales, Marchantiaceae.